UCAUUACCGAGUUUACAACUCCCAAACCCAAUGUGAACCAUACCAAACUGUUGCCUCGGCGGGGUCACGCCCCGGGUGCGUCGCAGCCCCGGAACCAGGCGCCCGCCGGAGGGACCAACCAAACUCUUUCUGUAGUCCCCUCGCGGACGUUAUUUUUACAGCUCUGAGCAAAAAUUCAAAAUGAAUCAAAACUUUCAACAACGGAUCUCUUGGUUCUGGCAUCGAUGAAGAACGCAGCGAAAUGCGAUAAGUAAUGUGAAUUGCAGAAUUCAGUGAAUCAUCGAAUCUUUGAACGCACAUUGCGCCCGCCAGUAUUCUGGCGGGCAUGCCUGUCCGAGCGUCAUUUCAACCCUCGAACCCCUCCGGGGGGUCGGCGUUGGGGAUCGGGAACCCCUAAGACGGGAUCCCGGCCCCGAAAUACAGUGGCGGUCUCGCCGCAGCCUCUCAUGCGCAGUAGUUUGCACAACUCGCACCGGGAGCGCGGCGCGUCCACGUCCGUAAAACACCCAACUUCUGAAAUGUUGACCUCGGAUCAGGUAGGAAUACCCGCUGAACUUAACGAGCGUCAUUUCAAC
Molecule: ribosomal RNA, 575 nt
Filed under: Trichoderma viride
Lineage: Eukaryota; Fungi; Ascomycota; Sordariomycetes; Hypocreales; Hypocreaceae
Description: eukaryotic LSU rRNA
Rfam family: 5.8S ribosomal RNA (bases 190-343)
Source: RNAcentral